RNAcentral lists this ribosomal RNA (253 nucleotides) under uncultured bacterium. RNAcentral describes it as "partial 16S ribosomal RNA". It matches the Rfam family "Bacterial small subunit ribosomal RNA", at positions 524 to 776 of the family's 1533-position model. The record is from RNAcentral.
GACAGAGGGGGCAAGCGUUGCUCGGAAUCACUGGGCGUAAAGGGCGCGUAGGCGGGAUGGCAAGUCGGUCGUGAAAUCCUUCGGCUCAACCGAAGAACGUCGGCCGAUACUGCCGUUCUUGAGGGAUGCAGAGGAGAUUGGAAUUCCUGGUGUAGCGGUGAAAUGCGCAGAUAUCAGGAAGAACACCCGUGGCGAAGGCGGUUCUCUGGGACGGUACUGACGCUGAGACGCGAAAGCGUGGGGAGCGAACAGG